GUCUCAAAGAUUAAGCCAUGCAUGUCUCAGUACAAGCCGAAUUAAGGUGAAACCGCGAAAGGCUCAUUAAAUCAGUUAUGGUUCCUUAGAUCGUACCCACAUUUACUUGGAUAACUGUGGUAAUUCUAGAGCUAAUACAUGCAAACAGAGCUCCGACCGGAAACGGAAGGAGCGCUUUUAUUAGAUCAAAACCGAUCGGUGGCGUGGGGCGGUUUCCACCGUCUCCGUCAUCGUACAAUAUGGUGAAUCUGAAUAACUUCACGCUGAUCGCACGGUCUCGCACCGGCGACGCAUCUUUCAAAUGUCUGCCUUAUCAACUGUCGAUGGUAGGUUCUGCGCCUACCAUGGUCGUAACGGGUAACGGGGAAUCAGGGUUCGAUUCCGGAGAGGGAGCCUGAGAAACGGCUACCACAUCCAAGGAAGGCAGCAGGCGCGCAAAUUACCCACUCCCGGCACGGGGAGGUAGUGACGAAAAAUAACGAUACGGGACUCAUCCGAGGCCCCGUAAUCGGAAUGAGUACACUCUAAACCCUUUAACGAGGAUCAAUUGGAGGGCAAGUCUGGUGCCAGCAGCCGCGGUAAUUCCAGCUCCAAUAGCGUAUAUUAAAGUUGUUGCGGUUAAAAAGCUCGUAGUCGAAUCUGUGUCCCGCGCCGCCGGUUCAUCGUUCGCGGUGUUAACUGGCGUGCCGCGGGACGUCCUGCCGGUGGGCUUAGCCCGCGAGGGCGGCCCAACUCAAUCCCGCCGCGGUGCUCUUCAUUGAGUGUCGAGGUGGGCCGGCACGUUUACUUUGAACAAAUUAGAGUGCUUAAAGCAGGCUAAAACUUCGCCUGAAUACUGUGUGCAUGGAAUAAUGGAAUAGGACCUCGUUUCUAUUUUGUUGGUUUUCGGAACUCCGAGGUAAUGAUUAAUAGGAACGGAUGGGGGCAUUCGUAUUGCGACGUUAGAGGUGAAAUUCUUGGAUCGUCGCAAGAC
Molecule: ribosomal RNA, 973 nt
Filed under: Scymena sp. COL1087
Lineage: Eukaryota; Metazoa; Arthropoda; Insecta; Coleoptera; Tenebrionidae
Description: SSU rRNA
Rfam family: Eukaryotic small subunit ribosomal RNA
Source: RNAcentral